GCUUGCGGGCUAAGGCGGGGAGCCGCUCCUGCGGUGGACGGGCGCGCGGACUGGAGGGAGGGAAGUGCCACGAACCGGGGAACCGGGGGGACGCGGAGACGGGGUCUGGUGGGGUGAGGGCGGCGGGCAGUAGCCAAGUGGUGUGCAGCUUCGAACCCCUGCAGCCUCCGGGCGAACGGAAUGGCACCCGCGGAGACGGGCGGGGACGGGCGAAAGCGGGUUUGCUCGGACCCGAAGCCAAGCCCGGUUUGGAGGGUGAUACCGUAGGCGAGAAUGGCCGCGCGGGCUGGGAGCCCCGCCCCGGGAUGGGGUGAAUGGAGCCGCCCGAGGUAGGGGAGUUGGGGGUGGUGGUUGUGAAGACAGUCGGAGUCGGACUCCGGGCAGACGAAACACCGGGGCGCGCCAGGGUCCAUUUCCUCCUUUUCUCCGUUUUCCCACCGGCCCUGUAGAUGCGGAGCCAGCAGUCGGGCUGGAGCGGAGGCUGAGGGUCGCCGUUCCGCUGGAGGUCUCUCGCCCCGGGUUAGGCCCCACCCCGCGGUGGCGGUCGCGUGGCGCUGUCCUGGAGUUAAGCUGUGCCGGCGCCGCGGCCCGCACGCCCAGGACCGCACACCGCCGCCCGCAGGCAGGGACGCCUACAACCUCGCUUCUCACCAGGCGCCCAGCUCGGGGCUGGGAACGGGAAGGGUGCAUUUCCGUGUGGGGUGGGGGCGAUUCCCGGCUGUCGGCGGUGGGGCUAGGCCUUGCGGCGGAAGAGCCAGGCCUUCGCAGCUUUCUAGCCAGCCGGGUUCGGGAUUUCUCGACGGUCGGACCGGUGGAGGCGAGGGUGGGCGGCUAUCCCCCAGCCUCUUCAGCAAGAAGCCGUGGGGCCACGGAAGGAUCCUGUGGAGUCAUCCAGGAAGCACAGCGAGGGGCAGUCGGUUGGAGGACCUAACAGUGCCUUCUGCCCCUGGCACAUUCGCCACAGAAGAAGACUACUCUGGGACUCAGCAGUAUGGGAUGGUGCUGUGGCAGCAGUCUCCUUGGAGCUCACUGGAUCCUUAG
This 1041-nucleotide long non-coding RNA is filed under the name Macaca mulatta (Rhesus monkey). Its description in RNAcentral is "lncRNA (ENSMMUG00000050114.1)". Lineage: Eukaryota; Metazoa; Chordata; Mammalia; Primates; Cercopithecidae. The record is from RNAcentral.